This 491-nucleotide ribosomal RNA is filed under the name uncultured bacterium. Its description in RNAcentral is "partial 16S ribosomal RNA". It matches the Rfam family "Bacterial small subunit ribosomal RNA", at positions 28 to 507 of the family's 1533-position model. The record is from RNAcentral.
GAUGAACGCUGUCUACAGGCUUAACACAUGCAAGUCGAGGGGAAACGACGGGGAAGCUUGCUUCCCCGGGCGUCGACCGGCGCACGGGUGAGUAACGCGUAUCCAACCUGCCUCUGACUGAGGGAUAACCCGUCGAAAGUCGGCCUAAUACCUCAUGGCAUCGUCUGCGGGCAUCCAACGACGAUUAAAGAUUUCAUCGGUCAGGGAUGGGGAUGCGUCUGAUUAGCUUGUUGGCGGGGUAACGGCCCACCGAGGCUACGAUCAGUAGGGGUUCUGAGAGGAAGGUCCCCCACAUUGGAACUGAGACACGGUCCAAACUCCUACGGGAGGCAGCAGUGAGGAAUAUUGGUCAAUGGGCGGGAGCCUGAACCAGCCAAGUAGCGUGCAGGAUGACGGCCCUAUGGGUUGUAAACUGCUUUUAUGCGGGGAUAAAGUGAGGGACGUGUCCUUCAUUGCAGGUACCGCAUGAAUAAGGACCGGCUAAUUCCGUG